UCUGGAGGAAGGGCAAUCGGGCCGCGGAGCCUCGGCGAAGUGGUCAGGAAAGUCCAGGCAGCUCAAGGCAGGAGACGAGGUGUAAACCUUGACGGGUAACCGCUGGUUAGAGCAACAGAGACUACAACUCACCCCUAACCUAAAAGGUUUGGGGAAGAGGGUGAAAAGGGCAAUCCCCUCCGCUGCAACCUCCGAAUGGGGCGCUGAAGGUAAGCCUUGCCGAGCCCCGAAGUUUGAGGGCAUAGAUUGAUGGUUGCCGAAAAACAGAACCUGGCUUACUCGCCUCCGGAGCAC
This is a non-coding RNA of Candidatus Woesebacteria bacterium, 294 nucleotides long. The record is from Rfam. Lineage: Bacteria; Candidatus Woeseibacteriota.